Molecule: transfer RNA, 33 nt
Filed under: Trachylepis affinis (Senegal mabuya)
Lineage: Eukaryota; Metazoa; Chordata; Lepidosauria; Squamata; Scincidae
Description: partial tRNA-Tyr
Source: RNAcentral
UGUGCAGGCGGGUUUUAAUCCCGUCCUUAUCAU